GCUGGGCAUGGUGGCUCAUGCCUGUAAUCCCAGCACUUUGGGAGGCUGAGGUGGGUGGAUCACCUGAGGUCAGGAGUUCGAAGCUAGCCUGGCCGACAUGGCGAAACCCCAUCUCUA
RNAcentral lists this non-coding RNA (117 nucleotides) under Pan paniscus (pygmy chimpanzee). Lineage: Eukaryota; Metazoa; Chordata; Mammalia; Primates; Hominidae. RNAcentral also lists the same sequence under 1 other name. The record is from Rfam by way of RNAcentral.